RNAcentral lists this transfer RNA (76 nucleotides) under Pseudomonadota bacterium. RNAcentral describes it as "Proteobacteria bacterium (hot springs metagenome) tRNA-Lys". It matches the Rfam family "tRNA". From Rfam's summary of the family: Transfer RNA (tRNA) molecules are approximately 80 nucleotides in length. Their secondary structure includes four short double-helical elements and three loops (D, anti-codon, and T loops). Lineage: Bacteria; Pseudomonadati; Pseudomonadota. The record is from RNAcentral.
GAGUCGCUAGCUCAGGCGGUAGAGCAACGGACUUUUAAUCCGUAGGUCCCGGGUUCGAGUCCCGGGCGACUCACCA